RNAcentral lists this unclassified non-coding RNA (387 nucleotides) under uncultured bacterium. RNAcentral's name for it is "contains 16S-23S intergenic spacer region". The record is from RNAcentral.
UCCAGUUUAUCACUGGCGGUCCUCUUAGAGUGCCCAGCUUAACCUGAUGGCAACUAAGAGCAAUGGUUGCGCUCGUUGCGGGACUUAACCCAACACUUCACAGCACGAGCUGACGACAGCCAUGCAGCACCUGUGUAUGCCUCCGAUUGGAUACGGUCGCCCCGGCUUUCACCAGGACUACUGCAAACAUGUCAAGCCUAGGUAAGGUUCUUCGCGUAGCCUCGAAUUAAACCACAUGCUCCACCGCUUGUGCGGGUCCCCGUCAAUUCCUUUGAGUUUCAGUCUUGCGACCGUACUCCCCAGGUGGUGGAUUUAAUGAGUUAUCGUCGGCGCCGAGGGGAUCGACACCCCCGACACCUAAUCCACAUCGUUUACGGCAAGGACUAC